This 494-nucleotide ribosomal RNA is filed under the name uncultured bacterium. RNAcentral describes it as "bacterial SSU rRNA". It matches the Rfam family "Bacterial small subunit ribosomal RNA", at positions 29 to 523 of the family's 1533-position model. The record is from RNAcentral.
AGCGAACGUUUGCGGCGGGCCUAACACAUGCAAGUCGAACGCACUAGCAAUAGUGAGUGGCGCACGGGUGCGUAACACGUGGGUAAUCAACCCUUCAGCUUGGGAUAACGACUUGAAAGGGUCGCUAAUACCGGAUACGGCGCGGGAGGCUUCGGCUUCUCACGAGAAAGCCUCGCAAGGGGCACUGAAGGACGAGCCUGCGGCCCAUCAGCUAGUUGGUGAGGUAAGAGCUCACCAAGGCGAAGACGGGUAGCUGGUCUGAGAGGAUGAUCAGCCACACUGGAACUGAGACACGGUCCAGACUCCUACGGGAGGCAGCAGUGGGGAAUAUUGCGCAAUGGGCGAAAGCCUGACACAGCCACGCCGCGUGAGCGAUGAAGGCCUCGGGUCGUAAAGCUCUGUGGGGAGAGACGAAGAAAGCCCGUGAAGAGCGGGCCGUUGACGGUAGUCUCCUUAGCAAGCACCGGCUAACUCCGUGCCAGCAGCCGCGGUAA